RNAcentral lists this ribosomal RNA (489 nucleotides) under uncultured bacterium. RNAcentral's name for it is "partial 16S ribosomal RNA". It matches the Rfam family "Bacterial small subunit ribosomal RNA", at positions 28 to 507 of the family's 1533-position model. The record is from RNAcentral.
GACGAACGCUGGCGGCGUGCUUAACACAUGCAAGUCGAUCGGUGAAGGGAUCAGCUUGCUGGUUCUGGAUGAGUGGCGAACGGGUGAGUAACACGUGAGUAACCUGCCCCCUUCUUCUGGAUAACCGCAUGAAAGUGUGGCUAAUACGGGAUAUUCUGCGCCUGCCGCAUGGUGGGUGUGGGAAAGAUAUUGUUUCGGUGGGGGAUGGGCUCGCGGCCUAUCAGCUUGUUGGUGGGGUGAUGGCCUACCAAGGCGGUGACGGGUAGCCGGCCUGAGAGGGUGGACGGUCACACUGGGACUGAGACACGGCCCAGACUCCUACGGGAGGCAGCAGUGGGGAAUAUUGCACAAUGGGCGCAAGCCUGAUGCAGCGACGCCGCGUGAGGGAUGGAGGCCUUCGGGUUGUGAACCUCUUUCGCCAGUGAAGCAGGCCUGUCCCUUGUGGGUGGGUUGACGGUAGCUGGAUAAGAAGCGCCGGCUAACUACGUG